Long non-coding RNA from Platichthys flesus (European flounder), 1422 nucleotides. RefSeq lists it as uncharacterized. The record is from RefSeq and is a predicted model, not a curated record. Lineage: Eukaryota; Metazoa; Chordata; Actinopteri; Pleuronectiformes; Pleuronectidae. The transcript is spliced from 3 exons.
GAGUUACAGGAAGCUUGAUUUCCAAAAAGUACAAAUCAAUAAAUCUCUUUUUUAAAUCCAGACACUCGUCUCCACCAGUGAAACCCACUCGCUGUGAGUUUUACUAUGAGACUGACUCAUGUUGCUUUUCAGGCUGUGAUGCAGACACUCGUACUUCACCUCCAUCACCAGUGGAGUGUGGCUGGUUGUUUCAUCUUUAAAGAGUCUCACUCUGAAGAGAUUUAAUUUUUUAACUUCACGUGUAACGUGGAUUUAAUUCCAUCUCUAUUCUUCUUAUAAUUUAUAAACACCUGACUUCUCUGUCUCGGUGAAAACACAUCCUUUUUUAAUUUUUCCCUCUGAUUUUUAAUCUUCAUUCUUCUCUUUUCAUUCAAGUCAAUUUCUAUUCUUUCACAUGUUGAUCUCAAGCUCAUUUCUGACCUAACAGCAGUGGAGGAGAAGAUCUCCUGACAAGUGGCUGUUCCUGAGCUAAUGAUCAUAUUACAUAAAAAAAAACAACAUCAGAGUUCAUAUCCAUGAUGACAGCGGAUGAAGGUCGUGUGAUUUGAUGGAAAGCAACAGAAAAUGAACCAGACGACCUUGAGGGUUGAUGUUUGUCUCAACUCUUUUAAGUGUCAUCUACUGAAUAAAGAGCCUACUUGAUAUUUUACUUUAGUAGAUUUACUUUCAGGUACUUUUUACUUUCACUUGUCACGUUUCCUCGGUCUCUUCCAACUCAUCUCUGUCAAGCUUUAUUUCUAACCCUCUUCUCCCUCCUCUCCUCUUUCUGUGUAUGGUUAUUCCUGGUGUUUCACCGAGUGAUUCAGACGUUUCCAGCUCAGACGGCUGAGAGCCCGGUGACUAACGGUGAGUGAGCGAUGGCACACCGGUCCCUGAGAGAGGCCACCUCGCUCCCAUCAAUCAGCCGCCUGCCUGCUACCUGGAGGCAGGGACGCUGGAGAUAAAGCACCCCCGCCUUCUGGAAAUUGCUACAAUUGAGUGAUUAAGACUGAUGACGUCAAAGAAAAGCCUUUUUAUGUGUAUUUACUGAACGUAUGUUGACUUACCUUCAUUCACACACGUCUAUGUGACUGUGACUCACCAGCGUCCUGGCCUUGGGCUCUGUUUGUGGCAGCUGCGUUGGUGAAACGCACGGUGAUGACGAAGAGGAGGAGGAGAAGACCUGGGAUGAGGAAGAGGCAACGUCACCUCAGGAAGUCAUGACAACGGGUUGCACCACCACCAGGGGGCGGUGCGCAACCGGGAGUCCACUCUCCAGCGUGAAAGUGGCAGAAACUUGGACUAUGGGUAGAGAAGGUCUCUGGUUCGACUCCACGGAGGAACAACAAAAAGACGAACCUGGAUUGAUCUGUCCAAAAAUCCAAGAGGAUUCUCCUUACCCUGUCUAGUGCCCCCUGAGCAAGGCACCUUUCUCCCCCAACA